UUCCGGUUGAUCCCGCCGGACCUGACUGCUAUCGGAUUGAUACUAAGCCAUGCGAGUCAUUGUAGUAAUACAAGGCAGACGGCUCAGUAACGCGUAGUCAACCUAACCUAUGGACGGGAAUAACCUCGGGAAACUGAGUAUAAUGCCCGAUAGAACAUUAUGCCUGGAAUGGUUUAUGUUCCAAAUGAUUUAUCGCCGUAGGAUGGGACUGCGGCCUAUCAGUUUGUUGGUGAGGUAAUGGCCCACCAAGACUAUUACAGGUACGGGCUCUGAGAGGAGUAGCCCGGAGAUGGGUACUGAGACACGGACCCAGGCCCUAUGGGGCGCAGCAGGCGAGAAAACUUUGCAAUGUGCGAAAGCACGACAAGGUUAAUCCGAGUGGUUUCUGCUAAAGGAACCUUUUGUUAGUCCUAGAAACACUAACGAAUAAGGGGUGGGCAAGUUCUGGUGUCAGCCGCCGCGGUAAAACCAGCACCUCAAGUGGUCAGGAUGAUUAUUGGGCCUAAAGCAUCCGUAGCCGGCUCUGUAAGUUUUCGGUUAAAUCUGUACGCUCAACGUACAGGCUGCCGGGAAUACUGCAGAGCUAGGGAGUGGGAGAGGUAGACGGUACUCAGUAGGAAGGGGUAAAAUCCUUUGAUCUAUUGAUGACCACC
This 653-nucleotide ribosomal RNA is filed under the name uncultured archaeon. RNAcentral's name for it is "bacterial SSU rRNA". It matches the Rfam family "Archaeal small subunit ribosomal RNA", at positions 1 to 661 of the family's 1478-position model. The record is from RNAcentral.